This 468-nucleotide ribosomal RNA is filed under the name uncultured bacterium. RNAcentral describes it as "partial 16S ribosomal RNA". It matches the Rfam family "Bacterial small subunit ribosomal RNA", at positions 28 to 507 of the family's 1533-position model. The record is from RNAcentral.
GACGAACGCUGGCGGCGUGCUUAACACAUGCAAGUCGAACGGAAAGGCCCUGCUUUUGUGGGGUGCUCGAGUGGCGAACGGGUGAGUAACACGUGAGUAACACGCCCUUGACUUUGUGAUAACUUCAGGAAACUGGGGCUAAUACCGGAUAGGAGCUCCUGCUGCAUGGGGGGGGUUGGAAAGUUUCGGCGGUGGGGGAUGGACUCGCGGGUUAUCAGCUUGUUGGUGGGGUAGUGGCUUACCAAGGCUUUGACGGGUAGCCCGCCUGAGAGGGUUACCGGCCACCAUGGGACUGAGAUACGGACCAGAAGCGUACGGGCGGCAGCAGUGGAGAGUAUUGCGCAGUGGGCGGAAGCCUGAUGCAGCAACGUCGCGUGCGGGAUGACGGGUUUCGAGUUGUAAACCGCUUUCGCAGGUGACGAAGAGUGAGUGACGGUAAUGGGUCAAGAAGCACCGGCUAACUACGUG